GACAAAAUCGUGCUUCUGGGUCGUCAGGUCCUGCAUGGGUCCUCUUCCCAGGAGAUCCCUGGUGCAAGGAAUAAUCGACCUUUCCGGCUUGGCGCACCAAUUGCCUAGGAACUUCCUCGUUAAUUCCUGAGGAGAGAGGAAAAAGAAAUAUCGCGACUCGCCGAGGAAUUUUCGGGGGUGUUGGAUAAGGACCUCCAGGGGAAGAGGAACGCCGGGAACAAAUUGGAUUUCGCAAUGGGAGAGACGAGGACGAGACAAUACCCGAUGAGUGGUGUCGUGGGAGAGAGGACAAGGAUAAAGGGCUUCCUGGGCUCUUCACGGUUCGGCCAGUAGCUGAGCUUAUACGUGGUGCAGCCUUCGAGAGGGACGACGGGCGGAUGAUACUCCACUUUCGAAUUCCAUGGCUGAGGUUCCUUAAAAAAGGGAACCCACCUCGUCGCUCUCUGCCCGGAGUAUCUUUACAAAAUUUUACUUUCCUCUUCUCUAUACCU
This is a long non-coding RNA of Orussus abietinus, 491 nucleotides long. RefSeq lists it as uncharacterized. The transcript has 3 exons. Lineage: Eukaryota; Metazoa; Arthropoda; Insecta; Hymenoptera; Orussidae. The record is from RefSeq and is a predicted model, not a curated record.